This is an RNA transcript of Fragaria vesca subsp. vesca, 515 nucleotides long. RefSeq lists it as uncharacterized. The record is from RefSeq and is a predicted model, not a curated record. Lineage: Eukaryota; Viridiplantae; Streptophyta; Magnoliopsida; Rosales; Rosaceae. The transcript has 2 exons.
CGACCAAAAAAAAAAAAAAAAAAAAUCGAUAAACCCCCAAUACAAAUUCGCAAAGCCAUCAGAACUAGGGUUUUUGGGUUCCCAUCGAUCUCAGCCGAUUUCGUAAACCAGAACACACAGAGCCACCCAAAAUGUUUCCAGGUAUGUUUAUGAAGAAGCCCGACAAGAAGGAGGCUCUGAAGCAGCUCAAGGUCCACGUCGGCAUGUUCGGCGCCUGGGUCGUCGCCAUCCGAGUCACUCCUUACCUUCUUCACGCUCUUUGUGGCGAAAAGGAGGAGCUCAAGCUCUCCAUUUGAGUGCAAUGCGAGUAUGGCAGAAUAACUGACUUCCGAGGAAGAUGAAUCAUUCAGAGCUUCGUAGUUUCUUUUUGACUUUGUGCCCUGGAACGCUUAUGAGACCAGUAUUAGCUUAUGUUGCUAUAGCUUUUCGUUUUAUGGGAGAUUGUUUAUUGUAUAAUGUUUGAUAUACUUUUGGCUUGGUCAACUUUAAUGCAAGGGUGACAUAUAAUUUUUGUA